CAGCAGUGGGGAAUAUUGCACAAUGGGGGAAACCCUGAUGCAGCGACGCCGCGUGAAGGAAGAAGUAUCUCGGUAUGUAAACUUCUAUCAGCAGGGAAGAUAGUGACGGUACCUGACUAAGAAGCCCCGGCUAACUACGUGCC
This 143-nucleotide ribosomal RNA is filed under the name uncultured bacterium. RNAcentral's name for it is "partial 16S ribosomal RNA". It matches the Rfam family "Bacterial small subunit ribosomal RNA", at positions 349 to 509 of the family's 1533-position model. The record is from RNAcentral.